RNAcentral lists this transfer RNA (72 nucleotides) under Bos taurus (domestic cattle). It matches the Rfam family "tRNA". From Rfam's summary of the family: Transfer RNA (tRNA) molecules are approximately 80 nucleotides in length. The record is from Rfam by way of RNAcentral. Lineage: Eukaryota; Metazoa; Chordata; Mammalia; Artiodactyla; Bovidae. RNAcentral also lists the same sequence under 2 other names.
UCCCUGGUGGCUCAGAUGGUAAAGCGUCUGCCUGCAAUGCGGGAGACCUGGGUUUAAUCCCUGGGUCGGGAA